RNAcentral lists this long non-coding RNA (5140 nucleotides) under Eptatretus burgeri (inshore hagfish). RNAcentral describes it as "lncRNA (ENSEBUG00000017248.1)". The record is from RNAcentral. Lineage: Eukaryota; Metazoa; Chordata; Myxini; Myxiniformes; Myxinidae.
CCCACAGACACGACACUCCGCACAGAUGCACACAAUCACCCAUACGUGCUCAAGCUACCUGAAAGACCUGCUAAUAUCCCUAUACCCUUCUAUUUCCAACAGUUCUCGGUACCUAUUGAAUUUGAAGAUCAAGAAGGAACCCGAAGAAGAAAAGAACAAAGAUGGAGUCAUCAGGAAGAACCUGGAUAGGAUUCAGGUUUCAGCCACUACUCCACUAUCCUCAAACCUAUCCAGGUGCAGCCAAAGUUCCUGCAGAGUCGUCGGUUCGGGCCCAGACGGGUCAAGGCAGGGAUCGAAGCGAGACGGGAGGAGGCGAGAGAAGCUGCACCUGGUCUCGGACAGGAGGACGUUGCGUACGGGAGCUGUACAUCGGUCAGGAGCUGAGCAACCACCUUCGCGAGCCCCGGGCGAUAAGUGCAGUCUCAAGGGGCACGCUGCAGAACAACGGUGGUGGCAUCUCACGGAGCCUGCCGGGCGUCGUGCUGGGACCGUGAUCCCGCCUUCGCGACAGCCCACCCCUAAUGGACAAGCACAAAGUGAAAAGACAGCGGCUGGACAGGAUUUGUGAAGGUUUGCUUUUGCGUACCCACGCACCCCUCCCCCCUUUUUAUUUUGUUACCUUUUUAAUAGUAUAUGCAACUUCAGGUCAGUUUUGCCAAAACAUUCUGUUUUGAAUGUCUGUUCUCCUUGACUGUUGCUGUUGCUGUUUCAGUAAUUGUACAGUUUUUUUUGUGUAGUUUUAAAAAAAUUUCUCAUGUUCUUUGAUUCAAAAUAUUUUUCCUGUAUAUAUUAUAUGUCUUGCACAAUGUGAAGUAGAAGCAUCUAAUGAUGUUCCUUUAAUUUAUGCUGCUGAACUUCCCUUGUAUUUUGUGCUGAGUUUCAUUACCUUGUCAUGUGCUUGUGCACUGUUUGAUGCUCCAGAGUCAUUUAUGGAAUGACUGAAUGACUGCAUAUUUGUUUCCUCAUGCAGUAUGUGCUUUGUUACAAACCCUUCCUUUGUGAUGUUUGGGAACCAUGAUGAAGUUUCAUAGAAAUUCAGGUUUCAUUUCCUUAUUUUGUUUUUGAUCCAAAGCUUUUAUCGUGUGCAAUGUUUGAGAUAGUGCUCUGACAGUGGUGCUGGAAAGGCAGCAGAAGGCUGGAAGAUUGCCUGCUGGUACUUUGUAUCUGCUGUCACUUCCAUGUCUUCAAACCAUGUGGUAGUAAAGCUCACUUGAAUCAUUCAUUUGUUUCUAUUCUGUGGAACUUUAUCGGUUUUGCCUGUCACUUGUCCUUGUUCUGCCUGUAGUGACAAAGAACAGUCUCAACUUUCAUUUGAUAACACAGUGUGUAUUUGUUGGCUGGGUGGUAAGUCUGCUCUGGUAUGUGAGCUUAACGUAUCAUGCACCCUUGUACAAACCCUCAAUGACUACCCAUUGCCAUUUAUUUUGUAUAUGUUGAAUGAUUACCCUUUUAAAAAGCAUAUUAGUCUGUGCUUGUAAUCAUAUUGCACAGACCGUAGAUAUUUCUCAGGUUGUCAUGUUCUUCUGUGCCAUAUCAUGCAUCAAUAUUAUUUUGCGUUCAGCAUUGCGAGAUGGGGCCAAAAAUGAUAUAUAACACGAUAUCUCAAAAAGUUAUGGACGGAUUCGGACUAAACUUGGUUGGGCAGGUUGGAUGUAUGAUGAGGACAAACUGAUUCAAUUUUGGUGAAGAUCCGGAUCCGCAUCCAUCUCGGAGAAUCUUUGAAGUGAUUCUUCACUAUUGAGAGAUGGGGCCAAAAACGAUAUAGAGCGAGCACGACAUUUCAAAAAGUUGUGGACGGGUUAUGACAGAACUUGGUGGAUGAGUUGGGUACAUGACGAGAACAAGCGAUUCGAUUUUGGUUCAGGUAUAGAUGCAGAUCCAGCCUAUCAGUGGAAUACAAAACGUAAACUGUUCAGCCUGGCAGAGGUACAUGCGUUCUACUGAGUGCCGUUCUAGUUGCUCAUGUUUUGAUAAAUUACUCUUGUUGACCUUUGACUUGUACAAUAAAUGGAGUCAUCUCAGACAUGAAUCAUUUACUAAGGCUGAUAUUUGGUAAUGAUAUACCAUGAAGCAUAUUAUGUGUGAUCUGCAGAUUCUCUGUUUGUUGAAGUUGCAAUUUUGGGAGUAGGAGGGUGGAGUGGGGUGGGGGGGAUGAGGAAGUUAGGUUAAAGGUUAUGUUGUUAAACAAAUUUUUAUGACUGACCUUUUUGCAAAAUAAUACAUGCGUCUCGAUAUGGCUUGAAGUGACAUUUUAGUUUGUGUAAGAAACGUCUCCAUAGAUUAGAAAUGAAUGGUUUUGAGAUUUCGAAGCAAUCCGAGUUUUGAUAAACUUCAAAUUUUGGUCAUAACUUUCAAGAUCCAUAUUUUGGGAUCUGUUUGGCAAGUUUGCUUAAGAUUCUGUGUGCAUUGUUUUCAAUUGAAAGCUAAACAGCUAACUAAACUGUGACACAUUUGGUGAAAAUAUUUUGUGCAAUGAUUUUCACUCUUUUGUUGGAAAUGCACUGGCUUAUUAUCUCCCAUGAUAUUCUGGUUCAAAUGUUAAAUAUUAUUUGCCAGAACAACCCGCUGACAUUCUUCUUCUUUAAUGGCCACAAUAAUUCCCAUGUUAUUUUGGGGUUGGCCGGGGGAAGUGUUUUUUGCCCGUCUUUCAUGAACCGGCUGGCCAGGCCUGAUGUUCGUAUAAGUCAUUUUGGAAUUUGUUCAGGGUGCCGGAGAUAACUCACCAACUCUUCGCCAAGGACACUGAGAUCCAAUGUCCACUAACUAAUGCCGGCAAAAGGGAAGCCUACUUUGACAUCCUUCCGAGAGAUGGCACAUACAUUGAUGAAUCACCCUCCCUGUGAAACAACGUGAUGACAGUUUAUAGCUGGGUCAUGAUUCAAACUCAAGCUAGACAGCUUAGAGGUGAGUGUACCUACCUUUAGGCCAUCCUGCCAUCCCAACACCCCACUCAGCAUUAAUAGCACAGUUUCAUUCCUUCAAAUCAUUGGUGUAAUUAUUUGGAUGCUUUUCACAUGCCCUCAGUGACAGUUUCUCACUUUUUGGCAAGAGAGGCGGUGAAACUUUAUCGGAUAUUUUGGACACGCUAUUCAUCUUCAAAAUGUUGACUGCCAUUGAUAGACAUAUUGUUCUUUGCCAAGAUGGAUAGGAUUUGCUGAAAAUCUUGGAUUUGCGAAUUAUCUUGCUGCCUGAGCAUUAGGUCACAGCAGUGUGGACGACCAUUUAUAACACAGCCGUGUCAGCAGACAAUCAAUGGUAUAUGAGAGGGUUCGGAAUGGAUUGCAUUGCAGGAGAACCAUUAAAAUGAAUCUGCUUUGACACAAAUUUUGUUAAAAUGACAACACAAAAAUCUUAUUUAUUUAAUUAAACUAAUUACUAAAAAUUGUCUUCUUUUUUUGAUGUGAAGGUUGUGGUUAAAAAAGUCAAAUACAAACUCCUUCGCUGUUGUGGUAUGAGGAACCGUGUGCCACACCGGCUUUUGUGCACGGCUCCUGGUCAGCAGGAUUUUUCUGCCACACACCAUUCUGACUGGUCCACAAACAGAUCGAGAGAGGUAGCUGGGAAAAAUGCAAUUAAAAGAAGGAUGUCUGGUUAUGUGCGGACCACACAAAGCAGAUCCUGCCGCUCACUGCAGUCUUCUCGAGGGUCGGACAUCAAAGGCACUAGAAUAGGAUGGUAUUUACAUUAUCAAGCUGCACAAGCCAGCUCACUCUGGUGGAGAGGCACCAUCCAUGAGCAUGUUUCUGUCGAGUUGGCCCUCAUCGGCACAGAGCAGGUGCCCAACCCCAACUCCCUCCCCCUCCCUAAACCACCUUGCCUUCUCAGUGAUUUGGCCAUGCCACCUUGAGGCUUUAUUUAAAAUACAAAGGCCUUCACUGUUACGGUACCAGGAGCCACAUGCCAUAUCAGAUAUUGCCAUAUGAAUCCUGACGAGCAGGAUGGCUGCAACACACCAUGUUUGAUUUUUGUCCACCAGCAUAUCUGGAGAGGUGGCCAGGAAAAUUGCAAUUGAAAGAACGAUAAAACCUCCAGCUAUGCGCAGACUGCGUCAGGAUCUGCCUUGUGUAUCUUCUCCGUGCUGCUGAUGUGGUGUAUGCAUCUGACCCGUUUUUACAGCGUUCAAGCCAGAAACGCUUAAAUUUCUUUCUUUGGCAAAAACCCAAAAGUAGUAUGAUUCUAUGAAAGGAUGCAUGUAUUUUUUAUUUUAUUUUGUUUGUUCAUUCGAGUUUUUGUUCUGUCCAUUUUGGGUGUGAUCAUCUCCAAAUUUACAUCUUCAUUGGGGUUCGGCUUUAAGUUGAUAAAAUGAUUUGAUGUCUGAAAAGUUGAUUUACUGGAGGGAGGAAGAUGGGGCUAGUUGAGUGUUAAUUUAUACUUUUUUGUUUUGGAUGACUCUUAAAAAAAAGACAGACACAAGCUUUCAAUGAUUUGUAUUUAGUUGUAGUAAUAUCUAACAACUCCUGAAUGAAGUGAAAUUACAGCUGUGCACAGCAUUCUGCUAUUUCUAAGAUCGGCAUGACCAUUGUAUCAUAUGCUGUGGAACAGCAUUGUCAUGAAAUUUCUGGUGAAUUCACAGAAGAUUGGUUCAUUCUGUGUUUGCCUCUCUUGCAGAUGUUUGAGUGCUGCAAAAGAUUUGAAAGUGGACUUUAAUUUACCUUGAACAUUUGUCGUUGCAUGCUAUAACCUUGAAUCACCCUUGUUAAGUGAAUCAGACUUGUGAAGUUGCUAAUUGUUUUUGGAUAUUUUUAGCUAUAUUUGCUACCCACACCUUUUAUUCUGCCCUGGUUUCAAAAACUUAACACUUGUGUUCUGAAAGCUGAGGCUGUUUAUGGUAUUCCAUUUCCUGUCACAUUUACUAUUCUUAUUAAAUGAGAUUUCUACUGGGACAGUUUCUUGUGAAGAUUAAUUUUUGGAUAGCUUCCUGAAUGCUCAUUAUACUGGCUGCAGCACCUGGAAGUUUGUAAAACGGUUGGAUCUGGACAUUUGAUCAUAAAAAAGAAAAAAGAGAAAUGACGAUGCGAGUAAUCCGGUUUUUUGCUGAACUUUGGUUUGCAGCUUUUUGUUGGGCCUUAUUCUGGCUCUUCAAUCGAUAUGCUUUGUGUUUUACAUGAGCAAAUAAAACCCGAGGCUCAGUUGGGGGGGG